This 202-nucleotide ribosomal RNA is filed under the name Priestia megaterium. RNAcentral describes it as "Bacillus megaterium partial 16S ribosomal RNA". It matches the Rfam family "Bacterial small subunit ribosomal RNA", at positions 54 to 242 of the family's 1533-position model. The record is from RNAcentral. Lineage: Bacteria; Bacillati; Bacillota; Bacilli; Caryophanales; Bacillaceae.
AUCAUGCAAGUCGAGCGAACUGAUUAGAAGCUUGCUUCUAUGACGUUAGCGGCGGACGGGUGAGUAACACGUGGGCAACCUGCCUGUAAGACUGGGAUAACUUCGGGAAACCGAAGCUAAUACCGGAUAGGAUCUUCUCCUUCAUGGGAGAUGAUUGAAAGAUGGUUUCGGCUAUCACUUACAGAUGGGCCCGCNGUGCAUU